UGAAGUCACGAGCUGCAUUGUCUGGGGUUCGGGUAGCUGUGAAGCAAGCACUCCCUUGGCCACUCCAGCUGGUGUCUCACUAGCCUUGCCAGCGCCUUAUGAUUUCUGACUUUUGAAGAAUAGCUACUCUGACUAAGAGAUGAGUAAAAGGAAAUCCAAAGUGGAGGUCUCAGUUUCAUUGGUGUGUUUGUUGCCUACAUUCACAUAUGUUUAAUGGCAAACCAAGUCUAGACAGAAGGCUUUCUCAAGACAGCAGAAAUUUAUUUAUCAUGAUUUUGGAGGCCAGAAGCCCAACAUCAGGAUGCCAUAUGGUCAGGUCUUCAUGAGGACUUUCUUCCUGGCUUGCAGGUGACACCUUCAUCCUGUAUCCUCACAUGGCAGAGAAGUACAAUAUCCUCACUGAAUCAGGUAUG
This 413-nucleotide long non-coding RNA is filed under the name Homo sapiens (human). Its description in RNAcentral is "HSALNT0066388". The record is from RNAcentral. Lineage: Eukaryota; Metazoa; Chordata; Mammalia; Primates; Hominidae.